RNAcentral lists this non-coding RNA (239 nucleotides) under Lachnoclostridium phytofermentans. RNAcentral's name for it is "Clostridium phytofermentans T-box sequence". It matches the Rfam family "T-box leader". From Rfam's summary of the family: Uncharged tRNA acts as the effector for transcription antitermination of genes in the T-box leader family. T-boxes are found upstream of many aminoacyl-tRNA synthetase genes and some amino acid biosynthetic genes usually in Gram-positive bacteria. Lineage: Bacteria; Bacillati; Bacillota; Clostridia; Lachnospirales; Lachnospiraceae. The record is from RNAcentral.
UUAAAACCGUUGACGAAGAGUAAGUACUUUUAGAAACUUGCUUUAAAGAGAGCUACAGAUGGUGAGAUUGUGGUAGGUAAAGGCUAAAAGGAAUGGGCUUUGGAGGGCAAACUGAAAUUUAGUAGGUGAGCCGGAGAUAACCUCCGUUAUCAAAGAUAAGCAUAUGUUUGUAUGCAUAGAGUGGACGUUUAACGUCAAGCUGGGUGGCACCGCAGAAGUUCGAUACUUUUGUCCCUGCA